GUACUUGGUGUUACUGCGAAGGGGGGACGGAGAAGGCUAUGUUGGCCGGGCGACGGUUGUCCCGGUUUAAGCGUGUAGGUGUGUGUUCCAGGUAAAUCCGGUUCACUUUAACACUGAGGCGUGACGACGAGGCACUACGGUGCUGAAGCAACAAAUGCCCUGCUUCCAGGAAAAGCCUCUAAGCAUCAGGUAACAUCAAAUCGUACCCCAAACCGACACAGGUGGUCAGGUAGAGAAUACCAAGGCGCUUGAGAGAACUCGGGUGAAGGAACUAGGCAAAAUGGUGCCGUAACUUCGGGAGAAGGCACGCUGACACGUAGGUGAAGUGAUUUACUCAUGGAGCUGAAGUCAGUCGAAGAUACCAGCUGGCUGCAACUGUUUAUUAAAAACACAGCACUGUGCAAACACGAAAGUGGACGUAUACGGUGUGACGCCUGCCCGGUGCCGGAAGGUUAAUUGAUGGGGUCAGCGCAAGCGAAGCUCCUGAUCGAAGCCCCGGUAAACGGCGGCCGUAACUAUAACGGUCCUAAGGUAGCGAAAUUCCUUGUCGGGUAAGUUCCGACCUGCACGAAUGGCGUAAUGAUGGCCAGGCUGUCUCCACCCGAGACUCAGUGAAAUUGAACUCGCUGUGAAGAUGCAGUGUACCCGCGGCAAGACGGAAAGACCCCGUGAACCUUUACUAUAGCUUGACACUGAACAUUGAGCCUUGAUGUGUAGGAUAGGUGGGAGGCUUUGAAGUGUGGACGCCAGUCUGCAUGGAGCCGACCUUGAAAUACCACCCUUUAAUGUUUGAUGUUCUAACGUGGACCCGUGAUCCGGGUUGCGGACAGUGUCUGGUGGGUAGUUUGACUGGGGCGGUCUCCUCCUAAAGAGUAACGGAGGAGCACGAAGGUUGGCUAAUCCUGGUCGGACAUCAGGAGGUUAGUGCAAUGGCAUAAGCCAGCUUGACUGCGAGCGUGACGGCGCGAGCAGGUGCGAAAGCAGGUCAUAGUGAUCCGGUGGUUCUGAAUGGAAGGGCCAUCGCUCAACGGAUAAAAGGUACUCCGGGGAUAACAGGCUGAUACCGCCCAAGAGUUCAUAUCGACGGCGGUGUUUGGCACCUCGAUGUCGGCUCAUCACAUCCUGGGGCUGAAGUAGGUCCCAAGGGUAUGGCUGUUCGCCAUUUAAAGUGGUACGCGAGCUGGGUUUAGAACGUCGUGAGACAGUUCGGUCCCUAUCUGCCGUGGGCGCUGGAGAACUGAGGGGGGCUGCUCCUAGUACGAGAGGACCGGAGUGGACGCAUCACUGGUGUUCGGGUUGUCAUGCCAAUGGCACUGCCCGGUAGCUAAAUGCGGAAGAGAUAAGUGCUGAAAGCAUCUAAGCACGAAACUUGCCCCGAGAUGAGUUCUCCCUGAGACUUA
Molecule: ribosomal RNA, 1400 nt
Filed under: Salmonella enterica
Lineage: Bacteria; Pseudomonadati; Pseudomonadota; Gammaproteobacteria; Enterobacterales; Enterobacteriaceae
Description: bacterial LSU rRNA
Rfam family: Bacterial large subunit ribosomal RNA
Source: RNAcentral